AUUGAACGCUGGCGGCAUGCUUUACACAUGCAAGUCGAACGGUAACAGGCCUUCGGGUGCUGACGAGUGGCGAACGGGUGAGUAAUGCAUCGGAACGUACCCAGAGGUGGGGGAUAACGCAGCGAAAGCUGUGCUAAUACCGCAUGUGAUCUGAGGAUGAAAGCGGGGGACCGAGCAGCAAUGUUUGGCCUCGCGCCUUUGGAGCGGCCGAUGUCGGAUUAGCUAGUUGGUGGGGUAAAGGCCUACCAAGGCGACGAUCCGUAGCUGGUCUGAGAGGACGACCAGCCACACUGGGACUGAGACACGGCCCAGACUCCUACGGGAGGCAGCAGUGGGGAAUUUUGGACAAUGGGCGCAAGCCUGAUCCAGCAAUGCCGCGUGAGGGAAGAAGGCCUUCGGGUUGUAAACCGCUUUUGGCAGGAACGAAACGGUGUCCGCUAAUACCGGGCGCUAAUGACGGUACCUGCAGAAUAAGCAGCGGCUAACUACGU
RNAcentral lists this ribosomal RNA (491 nucleotides) under uncultured bacterium. RNAcentral's name for it is "partial 16S ribosomal RNA". It matches the Rfam family "Bacterial small subunit ribosomal RNA", at positions 29 to 506 of the family's 1533-position model. The record is from RNAcentral.